This 460-nucleotide ribosomal RNA is filed under the name uncultured bacterium. RNAcentral's name for it is "partial 16S ribosomal RNA". It matches the Rfam family "Bacterial small subunit ribosomal RNA", at positions 338 to 795 of the family's 1533-position model. The record is from RNAcentral.
CCUACGGGAGGCAGCAGUGAGGAAUAUUGGUCAAUGGGCGUAAGCCUGAACCAGCCAAGUCGCGUGAGGGAUGAAGGUUCUAUGGAUCGUAAACCUCUUUUAUAAGGGAAUAAAGUGCGGGACGUGUCCCGUUUUGUAUGUACCUUAUGAAAAAGGUUCGGCGAACCCCGUGCCAGCAGCCGCGGGAAAACGGAGGGUCCGGGCGUUAUCCGGAUUUAUUUGGUUUAAAGGGAGCGUAGGGGGAUUGUUAAGUCAGUUGGGAAAGUUUGGGGCUCAACCGUAAAAUUGCAGUUGAAACUGGCAGUCUUGAGUACAGAAGAGGUGGGCGGAAUGCGUGGUGUAGCGGUGAAAUGCUUAGAUAUCACGAAGAACUCCGAUUGCGAAGGCAGUUCACUGGACUGUAACUGACACUGAGGCACGAAAGUGUGGGUAUCAAACAGGAUUAGAUACCCUAGUAGUC